Molecule: long non-coding RNA, 681 nt
Organism: Telopea speciosissima
Lineage: Eukaryota; Viridiplantae; Streptophyta; Magnoliopsida; Proteales; Proteaceae
Exons: 2
Source: RefSeq, a predicted model, not a curated record
AAAACAUUUGGUUCAACUUUCAACAAGUUGCCUACGGCCAUUGGUAAUCUAAAACAUUUGGUUCAACUUUCAGUAAGUAGGACAAAUAUUAAAGAACUACCUGAUGGUGUAGGGCAGUUAGAGAAGCUUGAGAAAUUAGAUGUUUCAGAUUGCAGUAAUCUGGUGAGGCUACCAACCUCAAUGUGUAGAAUGAGGAGUUUGACUUACUUUGACAUGAAAGAUACUAUGAUUGUAAAAUUACCAGAUGAUUUUUCAAAGCUCUCGAGCUUAGAGGUGUUAAGAAUGGGCAUGGUGGAUCUAGAUGAUGAUGAAUCAGAUGACUACAAAAGGAGGAGGCUUCAUCCACUCCAAAUCAACAAGAGUAAUUUUCCUUGUCAGCUGCAGGAGCUAUAUUUGGAAGGCUACAUGAACCUUGAAUCUCUCCCAGAGCUUCCCUCCACUUUAACUCGUCUGGAAGUUAAGGAGUGUUUUUCACUGCAGAUAAUUUCAGAUCUAUCACACUUGGAAUUGUUGAAGGAAUUAUUACUUAUUUAUUGCGAAUCAUUGGUAAGAUUACCGAAUAUGUCAAACCUUAAAAAAUUGAGGAAAUUGUGGAUUAAAAGUUGUGAAAAUUUAGAGGAAAUUCCCGGGCUUGAUGGAACAGAAUCCUUGGAAGUGUUGGAAGUGGAACAUUGCCCGAAA